Molecule: ribosomal RNA, 225 nt
Filed under: uncultured bacterium
Lineage: Bacteria
Description: partial 16S ribosomal RNA
Rfam family: Bacterial small subunit ribosomal RNA
Source: RNAcentral
UAACGCGUGAGGAACCUGCCUCAAAGAGGGGGACAACAGUUGGAAACGACUGCUAAUACCGCAUAAGCCCACAGCUCGGCAUCGAGCAGAGGGAAAAGGAGCAAUCCGCUUUGAGAUGGCCUCGCGUCCGAUUAGCUAGUUGGUGAGGUAACGGCCCACCAAGGCGACGAUCGGUAGCCGGACUGAGAGGUUGAACGGCCACAUUGGGACUGAGACACGGCCCAG